GAUGAACGCUGGCGGCGUGCCUAAUACAUGCAAGUCGAGCGAACGGACGAGAAGCUUGCUUCUCUGAUGUUAGCGGCGGACGGGUGAGUAACACGUGGAUAACCUACCUAUAAGACUGGGAUAACUUCGGGAAACCGUAGCUAAUACCGGAUAAUAUUUUGAACCGCAUGGUUCAAAAGUGAAAGACGGUCUUGCUGUCACUUAUAGAUGGAUCCGCGCUGCAUUAGCUAGUUGGUAAGGUAACGGCUUACCAAGGCAACGAUGCAUAGCCGACCUGAGAGGGUGAUCGGCCACACUGGAACUGAGACACGGUCCAGACUCCUACGGGAGGCAGCAGUAGGGAAUCUUCCGCAAUGGGCGAAAGCCUGACGGAGCAACGCCGCGUGAGUGAUGAAGGUCUUCGGAUCGUAAAACUCUGUUAUUAGGGAAGAACAUAUGUGUAAGUAAAUGUGCACAUCUUGACGGUACCUAAUCAGAAAGCAACGGCUAACUACGUG
Molecule: ribosomal RNA, 497 nt
Filed under: uncultured bacterium
Lineage: Bacteria
Description: partial 16S ribosomal RNA
Rfam family: Bacterial small subunit ribosomal RNA
Source: RNAcentral